AUUGAACGCUGGCGGAAUGCUUUACACAUGCAAGUCGAGCGGCAGCGCGGCCUUCGGGCUGGCGGCGAGCGGCGAACGGGUGAGUAAUGCAUCGGAACAUGCCCAGUCGUGGGGGAUAACACUUCGAAAGAAGUGCUAAUACCGCAUACGUCCUGAGGGGGAAAGCGGGGGAUCGCAAGACCUCGCGCGAUUGGAGUGGCCGAUGUCCGAUUAGCUAGUUGGUGGGGUAAAGGCCUACCAAGGCGACGAUCUGUAGCUGGUCUGAGAGGAUGAUCAGCCACACUGGAACUGAGACACGGGCCCGACUCCUACGGGAGGCAGCAGUGGGGAAUUUUGGACAAUGGGGGCAAGCCUGAUCCAGCCAUUCCGCGUGGGUGAAGAAGGCCUUCGGGUUGUAAAGCCCUUUUGUUAGGAAAGAAAAGCUGGGGCUUAAUACACGGCUGUUAUGACGGUACCCGAAGAAGAAGCACCGGCUAACUACGUG
This 484-nucleotide ribosomal RNA is filed under the name uncultured bacterium. Its description in RNAcentral is "partial 16S ribosomal RNA". It matches the Rfam family "Bacterial small subunit ribosomal RNA", at positions 30 to 507 of the family's 1533-position model. The record is from RNAcentral.